Long non-coding RNA from Oryzias melastigma (Indian medaka), 651 nucleotides. RefSeq lists it as uncharacterized. The record is from RefSeq and is a predicted model, not a curated record. NCBI's taxonomy places the organism in Eukaryota, Metazoa, Chordata, Actinopteri, Beloniformes, Adrianichthyidae. The transcript has 3 exons.
GGGCUUGUGCAGAACAGUGUGGUUCCUCCUCAGGGUUCUGUGAGUUGGGAGGAGGCUCCGUCCUGACUGGUGGGGGAACAUCUGGCUGGCAGGCCCACUGGAUUUGGAUGAAAACAUUUCUUCAGAACAAAAAGAUGAGUGUUUUUUCUUUACCAACAACUCCUUCAUGUCCUGAAACUGAAGGCCAGUCUAUACGGAGUCAGUAAAGCAAAUCCUGGAGUACAGCGGACCACAAAACCACAACAAAUGUGGAUAUGUAGUCCAGUAGUGGUUCUGUCACAGAGGAGAUGCUGAUCGUGCAAAGAAGUCGUGGUGGCAGAGAGGCUUUGCAGACGAGAAGAAAAUAUGCUGUGGUGUUAGGAACUAAUCCAGAGGACCAGAAAGCAUCCGGAUACGAAUGGACCACCUCAUACUGGACCUUCUGCAGCUUCAACAACCUCAGAACAACACAGGAAAAUGUGACAACUUUUACAGAGUUCUGAUGCAUCACAUGAUCUGCUGCUCUGACCUUCACUGUCCUCUGAGGACACCACAGUUCUUCAAUGAAGCAGAUGAAGCUCUGAUCCAUGGAUGAAGACACAGCAGCUGAUGAACAGACACGUCACAGGACAGUUUUUAUCUGUCAAUAAAUAAAAACCUUUAUUUAUCUAG